RNAcentral lists this small nuclear RNA (298 nucleotides) under Carlito syrichta (Philippine tarsier). RNAcentral describes it as "7SK RNA (ENSTSYG00000027096.1)". It matches the Rfam family "7SK RNA". From Rfam's summary of the family: 7SK was discovered as an abundant small nuclear RNA in the mid-70s but a possible function has only recently been suggested. Two independent studies have found that 7SK RNA binds the CDK9/cyclin T complex (known as elongation factor P-TEFb). P-TEFb activates transcription by phosphorylating the C-terminal domain of RNA polymerase II. Lineage: Eukaryota; Metazoa; Chordata; Mammalia; Primates; Tarsiidae. The record is from Rfam by way of RNAcentral.
GGCUGGGGGGGCGAUCUGUCUGUGACAUCUACCACCCCAUUGAUCGCCAGGGUUGAUUCGGCCGAUCCGUCGGGCGAGGCGAUGCCCGCUUCCUCCCUCACCACUCCAUGUGUGCCCCUCCCGAAGCUGAGCGCUCGACUGAAGAGGACACCCAUCCCUGCUAGAGAAGGAAUUCGCUUCCCCCUGCCAGGACCUCCAGAAAACAGCUCGAGGUUCAGACACGCUGCGGGAAGGCUGGGGAACGAACACGGCACCUCUGAAAACGUGGAGACCGCGACACAGGGCUGUGUUUUGACUU